RNAcentral lists this transfer-messenger RNA (288 nucleotides) under Betaproteobacteria bacterium HGW-Betaproteobacteria-6. It matches the Rfam family "Betaproteobacteria transfer-messenger RNA". From Rfam's summary of the family: Bacterial tmRNA, also known as 10Sa RNA or SsrA, is named for its dual tRNA and mRNA-like properties. Its role is to liberate the mRNA from a stalled ribosome. Lineage: Bacteria; Pseudomonadati; Pseudomonadota; Betaproteobacteria. The record is from RNAcentral.
UGGCGAAUCCUCGCUUGAAAAACCCCUACCCCGCCCCCAUAAUUCAAAGCAUGGUUGUAAUUCCGGCAAUCUGGAGGCGUUCUGGACAGGGGUUCGAUUCCCCUCACCUCCACCCAAGGGCAUUCCGCUGAGUGUUCUUGGUUGGGGGUGUACUGGCUUCGACAGGGCGGGCAAAGGUGCGCAGGCAACUCGUCAGGCGAUCGACGUUAAUGAAGCAAAUCCAUAAUUGCCAAUGAUGAGAGCCUUGUUACCAAAGAUAGCCGGCGGGGACUUCGGUCCCCGUCGUCA